Molecule: ribosomal RNA, 301 nt
Filed under: uncultured bacterium
Lineage: Bacteria
Description: partial 16S ribosomal RNA
Rfam family: Bacterial small subunit ribosomal RNA
Source: RNAcentral
CAGCAGCCACGGGAAUACGAAGGGGGCUAGCGUUGUUCGGAUUUACUGGGCGUAAAGCGCACGUAGGCGGACUUUUAAGUCAGGGGUGAAAUCCCGGGGCUCAACCCCGGAACUGCCUUUGAUACUGGGAGUCUUGAGUUCGAGAGAGGAGAGUGGAAUUCCACGUGUAGCGGUGAAAUGCGUAGAGAUGUGGAGGAACACCUGUGGCGAAAGCGGCUCACUGGACCAUAACUGACGCUGAUGCACGAAAGCUAGGGGAGCAAACAGGAUUAGAUACCCCAGUGUCCCUGUCUCUUAUACC